This is a non-coding RNA of Mycena latifolia, 93 nucleotides long. The record is from the annotation of a GenBank genome assembly. NCBI's taxonomy places the organism in Eukaryota, Fungi, Basidiomycota, Agaricomycetes, Agaricales, Mycenaceae.
CACCCGAUGGCACAAGGUGUGCGUCUGCUAUGCUUGAAGGCUGGGGUUAAAGCAUUUAUGCAGAAGGCCCCUGUUCAAUUCGGGGUCGGGUGA